Non-coding RNA from Misgurnus anguillicaudatus (oriental weatherfish), 631 nucleotides. The record is from RefSeq and is a predicted model, not a curated record. NCBI's taxonomy places the organism in Eukaryota, Metazoa, Chordata, Actinopteri, Cypriniformes, Cobitidae.
UGACGGUAGUAUUGGUAACCUAGCAACCAACAGUAAACAAAAGGCACGUUUGGAAAACGGAGACAGGUAGUCACGAUGGGGCAAGUUAUUAAUUUAUUAGCAGUGCAGCUUGUAAUUGCCAGAAUGCUGUGCAGUGUGCACAGAAGAUAGAAUGCAGCAUUUUUGAUGAGGGUACUAGCAGCAAGGACAUUGCUACGACGUCGAGCCCCAUAUGGUAGACAAAAACAGCGGAAACAGCUACAGGAAACGAGCCCUGUCUAAGAGCCAGAAGGGACAGAUGGAUGAACAGAAUGAAGAAACUGGCCUUAAAUAGAAAAGCUACGAGGGUCAAUCCAGUCUUCUCUUCACAUACACUUACUAAUAUCAAACACCAUGAUCCCUAAAUCAUCUAGAAGAGUAAACACACAGUAAAAACAUACCCCCCUGCCUAUUCUGUAUGUGGCACCACGUUAAAUGUUUCUUCUGCCUAUCGCAUACAAUUUAACAUGCUGCUGCUGCUAGUGAAUGGUUGACUUAACUCCUCUUUUAAAUUAAUGCAUGCGUGAAAUGUUUAUGAACACCUAUGAAGCUUGUUUUACAUAACAUGACUUUUGACACCUGUUAAACAAAUUAUAUAUACACAACCAUCUUU